RNAcentral lists this long non-coding RNA (204 nucleotides) under Elaeis guineensis (African oil palm). RNAcentral's name for it is "long non-coding RNA (EGUI_LNC034546)". Lineage: Eukaryota; Viridiplantae; Streptophyta; Magnoliopsida; Arecales; Arecaceae. The record is from RNAcentral.
CUUAACUACUAGUAGAUAUAAUAUUAUGUUUAGUGUUUGCAUGUAUGCUCAUUAUUAAUCAAAUCCAAAAGAAUCAUAUGUAAUGCUUGUUCAAAGAAUCUUUAGAUAUUUAAUUGAUACUCAAAAUGCUAGUUUGUGAUUUUCAAAAUAAUUUUUUUUAGACUUAAUUGGUUAUCUAAAUGCUCAUUUUAUCAGAUGCAAAUU